UAGGAGGCGGGAGAGGCAAGCGGUACUCCGCGGGUAGGGGUAAAAUCCUUUGAUCCAGGAAGACCACCAGUGGCGAAGGCGGUCUGCCAGAACGCGCUCGACGGUGAGGGAUGAAAGCUGGGGGAGCAAACCGGAUUAGAUACCCGGGUAGUCCCAGCCGUAAACGAUG
Molecule: ribosomal RNA, 169 nt
Filed under: uncultured archaeon
Lineage: Archaea
Description: partial 16S ribosomal RNA
Rfam family: Archaeal small subunit ribosomal RNA
Source: RNAcentral